RNAcentral lists this microRNA precursor (141 nucleotides) under Tupaia belangeri (northern tree shrew). RNAcentral's name for it is "miRNA (ENSTBEG00000019919.1)". The record is from RNAcentral. Lineage: Eukaryota; Metazoa; Chordata; Mammalia; Scandentia; Tupaiidae.
AGGAUGCCCACUUAAUCUGAAUUUUAGAUAAACGAUGAAUGAUGAUUUAGUAUGAGAAUGAUUCAUGAAACAUUUGGGACAUAUUUACGCUAAAAAUUAUGCAUUGUCAUUUGAAAUUCAAAUGUAAAUGAGCAUCUUGUA